AUGAGGCAUUGGCUUUGUUGCAAUGGCCAGAGCGGUGACGACGACGACAGACAUGAGGUGGAACAUUCCAAAGCUCAGGGGAAUAAGAUAGACGGCAAGCUAAAAUCUUCGAAACCUGCUGACCAACCUCAGCCAGAUAUUUCCCCUCCUACAAUUGAUGUCCCAGAACUGUCAUUUGAGGACUUGAAAGAAAAGACUGACAAUUUUGGAUCGAGUUCCCUGAUUGGUGAAGGUUCAUAUGGACGAGUAUAUCAUGCUACCAUGGAUGAUGGCAGGCAAGCGGCUAUUAAGAAAUUUGAUGCAUCUGAAAAUGAGCCCAACGAUGAAUUCUUGAAACAGGUCUCACUUGUAUCAAGGCUAAAACAUGAAAAUCUUGUGGAGAUGCUGGGCUACUAUGUGGAGGGCAACUAUCGUAUACUGGCAUAUGAAUUUGCAACAAUGGGUUCUCUUCACGAUGUUCUGCAUGGAAGAAAAGGAGUUCAAGGUGCGCAGCCUGGCCCUGUGCUUGACUGGAUGCAGAGAGUCAAAAUUGCUAUCGAGGCGGCAAAAGGUAUAGAGUACCUACAUGAGAAGGUUCAGCCUUCAAUCAUCCAUCGGGACAUCAGAUCAAGCAAUGUGCUUCUGUUUGAGGACUUCAAGGCGAAAAUUGCGGACUUCAACCUCUUAAAUCAAGCUCCUGAUAUGGCAGCACGUCUCCAUUCGACUCGUGUAUUAGGGACAUUUGGAUAUCAUGCUCCAGAAUAUGCUAUGACUGGCCAGCUGACACAGAAGAGUGACGUCUACAGCUUUGGCGUGGUUCUUCUUGAACUUCUGACUGGAAGGAAACCGGUUGAUCACACAAUGCCUCGGGGGCAGCAAAGUUUAGUCACUUGGGCUACUCCAAGAUUGAGUGAAGAUAAGGUGAAGCAAUGCGUAGAUCCUCGGUUGAAGGGAGAAUAUCCUCCAAAGGGAGUUGCUAAGCUUGGUGCGGUGGCAGCUCUGUGCGUGCAGUAUGAAGCAGAGUUCAGGCCCAACAUGAGCAUCGUCGUCAAGGCGCUCUCGCCUCUGCUACAACAAAGAGCAGCAGCGCCGGCAGCCUCUGAGCUGGCCCCGGCACCCGGGGCUUAG
This 1107-nucleotide ribosomal RNA is filed under the name Triticum aestivum (bread wheat). RNAcentral's name for it is "partial small subunit ribosomal RNA". Lineage: Eukaryota; Viridiplantae; Streptophyta; Magnoliopsida; Poales; Poaceae. The record is from RNAcentral.